RNAcentral lists this long non-coding RNA (232 nucleotides) under Capsella rubella. RNAcentral's name for it is "long non-coding RNA (CRUB_LNC000154)". Lineage: Eukaryota; Viridiplantae; Streptophyta; Magnoliopsida; Brassicales; Brassicaceae. The record is from RNAcentral.
AAUUUGAUACUCUCUUAAUUGAUUACAUGAGGCUGAGCCUCUUAUUUAUACUUUGGUAAAACCCUAGUUCCCUUGACACAUGUCAUCACCUUGUAGAGGGCUAAGAGCAUCAAAUUUGUUCCUUGUCUCUAUCACAUUGAUCGUACUGUUUCCUGAAGCUUCUUCUGCAAUUUGUUUGUUUUUGUCUUUUGUCAAUUGCAGAGAUUGCAGAGAUUGCAGAGGUUGCAGAGAU